This 272-nucleotide long non-coding RNA is filed under the name Lathyrus oleraceus (garden pea). RNAcentral's name for it is "Pisum sativum (pea) long non-coding RNA (PSAT_LNC012845)". The record is from RNAcentral. Lineage: Eukaryota; Viridiplantae; Streptophyta; Magnoliopsida; Fabales; Fabaceae.
CCCUCUGUCUUCAUGAUGCAAGUUUAAAAUGAAAAACUCUUAAACAUCAAAGUUGUAUAUAGUUUCAAGAUGGUCAAUCUAGACUCAAAGUUUGCAUCAUUUGGAUUUUCUAUGACAAAGUUAUGGGCAUUUGAAGUUGGGUACAUUUUCAAAUUCAAUGAAUUAGGUCGAAGAUGACCUAUAAUGUUUUGCAUUAUAACAUGUAUUUAUUUUAAUAUUAUGAAAAUUUGUCCAACCUAACCUUUGAAUUAGACAUCUCAAGCUUUCCAAUU